This is a non-coding RNA of Aspergillus ibericus CBS 121593, 88 nucleotides long. The record is from the annotation of a RefSeq genome assembly. Lineage: Eukaryota; Fungi; Ascomycota; Eurotiomycetes; Eurotiales; Aspergillaceae.
GCCUCCUGUAGCUCAGCGGUAGAGCGCCCCACUUACUCUUAAGUCUUAUUCUUAGGGGAGGGCCGCGGUUCGAAUUCGCGCAGAGGCA